UACGAAGGUGGCAAGCGUUGUUCGGAUUUACUGGGCGUACAGGGAGCGUAGGCGGUUGGAUAAGCCCUCCGUGAAAUCUCCAGGCUUAACCUGGAAAGUGCAGAGGGGACUGUUCAGCUAGAGGAUGGGAGAGGAGCGCGGAAUUCCCGGUGUAGCGGUGAAAUGCGUAGAUAUCGGAAGGAACAUCAGUGGCGAAAGCGGCUUCCUGGACCAGUACCGACGUUCAGGCACGAAAGCGUGGGGAGCAAACAGG
Molecule: ribosomal RNA, 253 nt
Filed under: uncultured bacterium
Lineage: Bacteria
Description: partial 16S ribosomal RNA
Rfam family: Bacterial small subunit ribosomal RNA
Source: RNAcentral